RNAcentral lists this ribosomal RNA (434 nucleotides) under uncultured bacterium. Its description in RNAcentral is "bacterial SSU rRNA". It matches the Rfam family "Bacterial small subunit ribosomal RNA", at positions 28 to 507 of the family's 1533-position model. The record is from RNAcentral.
GAUGAACGCUGGCGGCGUGGAUAAGGCAUGCAAGUCAAGGGGGCCCGCAAGGGCAACCGGCAGACGAGGUAGUAAUAAUUAGGUACGUACCCAAGGGUCGGGCAUAGCUAUUCGAAAGGAUAGGUAAUUCCCGAUAGUCUCGAAAGAGUAAAGUUUUUCGCCCUUGGAGCGGCCUGAUCGGUAUCAGCUAGUUGGUGAGGUAAAAGCUCACCAAGGCUAUGACGCCUAGGGGACCUGAGAGGGUGACCCCCACCGAUGGGACUGAGACACGGCCCAUACACCUACGGGUGGCUGCAGUCGAGAAUCUUCCGCAAUGGACGAAAGUCUGACGGAGCGACGCCGCGUGGAGGAUGAAGUGCUUCGGUAUGUAAACUCCUUUUGCCAGGGAAAAGUUAUUGAUUGUACCUGGAGAAUAAGAGGUUGCUAAACUCGUG